This 228-nucleotide ribosomal RNA is filed under the name Triticum aestivum (bread wheat). Its description in RNAcentral is "partial small subunit ribosomal RNA". Lineage: Eukaryota; Viridiplantae; Streptophyta; Magnoliopsida; Poales; Poaceae. The record is from RNAcentral.
AUGGCCAUGCCUCGUGCCAAGGCUACCGCUGCCGCCAACGGCGAGGUAUGGGUGGAGAAGGUCGACAGGAUCAGGUUCGUCUACAACGCCAUCACCAAGCCGUCGGUGUACGUGAAUCCAAGGGCGGCGACCAUGACGACGAGGCCGGUAGCCGAGUUCGCCAUCUCCAGGGAGAAGAUCGACGACUACAUCGCGAGGAAGAAGAAGCAGUUUGCUCAGGAAGCCUAG